Molecule: ribosomal RNA, 373 nt
Filed under: uncultured organism
Description: bacterial SSU rRNA
Rfam family: Bacterial small subunit ribosomal RNA
Source: RNAcentral
CGUAGGUGGCAAGCGUUGUCCGGAAUUAUUGGGCGUAAAGGGCGCGUAGGCGGUACCUUAAGUCAGAUGUGAAAUCUCCGGGCUUAACCCGGAACGGUCAGCCGAUACUGCAGGGCUAGAGUGCAGAAGGGGCAACUGGAAUUCUCGGUGUAGCGGUGAAAUGCGUAGAUAUCGAGAGGAACACCUGCGGCGAAGGCGGGUUGCUGGGCUGACACUGACGCUGAGGCGCGAAAGCUAGGGGAGCGAACGGGAUUAGAUACCCCGGUAGUCCUAGCCUUAAACGAUGAAUGCUUGGUGUCUGGGGUUUUAUAGUCCCCGGGUGCCGUCGCUAACGCUUUAAGCAUUCCGCCUGGGGAGUACGGUCGCAAGACUG